AGGACACGGAAGGGAAGUGGCGGAUGACACUCCUCCACAGGGUUCGAUGAGAAAGGACGGCGCCCUUAGUCGACCUCGGGUUUGGGUAAGGACCCAGUUAGCGAUUUGGACCCUCAGAUUCAGGUCGUUAUAUGUAAUUUAAUAUCCACAAACUUUAUAUUUGUCCAUUUUCAUUUUCAUCAAGUGAGAAGUUGUGAAAAAUUCUUAUUGUAUAUGAAAGAGCAUUCAACUGAACUGUAUGGAGAGAAAACACAUACACGCACAAAGAAGAAGAAGAAGAAUAAUAAGAAGGUUUGGUAGGGGUAUUUUUGGAAGAGUAAAAGGGUAAAAUGAGUAUUAUAUUAAUUGAGGGUGUUUUUGCACAAAUUGAAAAGAAUAAGGGUAUUGUUUUGUAAUACCCCUAGUUUUUUAAAAAGGAUAGUCUCGGUAUUUUGAUUAUUAUUUUAUUGGAUUUCUAUUUGUUUAAUUGUUAAUUAUUUGUUUAAUUGGUUA
Long non-coding RNA from Cornus florida, 492 nucleotides. RefSeq lists it as uncharacterized. The record is from RefSeq and is a predicted model, not a curated record. The transcript has 2 exons. Lineage: Eukaryota; Viridiplantae; Streptophyta; Magnoliopsida; Cornales; Cornaceae.